AUCCCCACUAUCCUAUUUCUCUUAACAUGCAAGCUAUCCACAUCAGCAACCUAUCACAUCUAACAUGCAGACUCCACGUCAUAACAUCUGCCAACUAAGUAAUUAUUUUUCUUAUUUUUUCCAACGAAUCGUCAGUCUGGCUCCUCCCUUCGUGAUAUCCAGAAACAAUAACUCCUUCCGCUUCUCCACCCCCGCCUCUCCCCCUCCCUCCAUCAGUAACAUCCGCCCCGCAUCCCCAACCCUCCCUCGCUUUUACUCCUCGCCUUGGGCAUCCUCUUCCUCACCUUGGGUUCCUCUCAAGGUCGGCGUGUCUUCUUCACCUACCGAUGCCAUCCAGGGCUACCUUGGAUUCUGAGUGAUUGGCCAGCAACGAAAGUCCCAUGGCGUUAUUGUCUUAGAUCAUGGUGGCCCUGUCCCCGCAUCAUGAAAUUAUUCUUCUCACCAAAGGAUCGCAAGACAAUCGAUUUGGAAGGAGGUCGCACCAACGGGGAUCAAAGUAGGCUAAUCGAUAAGACAACGUCUUCUCGAUCGAUCAAUCUCGCCUGUCCGGUCCAACAGGCAAACUCGACCUUAAUCUACAGCUAUAUAUAACGGCGACACGUGCGAUGUGGCCGCGGCAUGUUUACCAGCGGCCUGACGGGCAAUGGACGGGAGUAACGCUAUUCUUCCAUGUUUUCGAUCUCACCCUUUUGAUGCAGGAGAUUUUUGCAUCGGUCCAUACGACGGAUAUAAACAUUCAGUUAUUUCUUAGAUUUUUGAGAAAAAUGCCAGCCGUUCAUUCAUUUGACCAGAGAAAAAAAAUCAGAUGAAAAGAAAAGGAAAAAGGAUCAGAUGAAAAAAAACUAGCAUGGAUAUUCAUUAUUUCCCUACAUUUAAAACUGAUUAUAUUUAUUAAAUCAAUUUAAGUCUUGCGGAAGCUACAAUUAUUUUGCAAUCCCCUUUUACAGUGAUGGUUCAUGUAUUGCUCAUAUUCGUCGUGCUACAAAAGCAUAGCGUUUUUCUCUCUCUUAAUUUUAUG
Molecule: long non-coding RNA, 1018 nt
Organism: Triticum aestivum (bread wheat)
Lineage: Eukaryota; Viridiplantae; Streptophyta; Magnoliopsida; Poales; Poaceae
Exons: 3
Source: RefSeq, a predicted model, not a curated record